UACGUAGGUGGCAAGCGUUGUCCGGAUUUACUGGGCGUAAAGAGCGCGCAGGCGGUCGUUCAAGUCGCGUGUGAAAGCCCCCGGCUCAACUGGGGAGGGUCACGCGAUACUGAUCGACUGGAAGGCAGAAGAGGGUAGUGGAAUUCCCGGUGUAGUGGUGAAAUGCGUUGAUAUCGAUAGGAACUCCGGUGGCGAAGGCGGCAUACUGGACCACAUCUGACGCUGAGGC
Molecule: ribosomal RNA, 229 nt
Filed under: uncultured bacterium
Lineage: Bacteria
Description: partial 16S ribosomal RNA
Rfam family: Bacterial small subunit ribosomal RNA
Source: RNAcentral